UAUAUAUGUGCUAUCUCAAUGGGGGGUUUUUUGGUUGGGUAUAGAAAUUCCCAAAUUAGAUAAGAAUUCAGCUUUAGUUGCUUGUAUAAAAGUUUCAUUCUUUCUUGCUGCCCCAAAAUUGGCUUCUUCCUACUUUUAUUGAUACUCCCUCAUAAUUCUGAAUCGAAGUGUAAUUUUAUACUGUAUUUCAGAAAUUUUCAAUUGCUCAGUGACGAGUGUUAGCAGAUUUGUGAUGUCUGUUAGUUACAUAUUGUGUUGAUCUUAAAUACUAACAUCUGUUCGGUUUGCAAGUAUGUAUCUUAGGAUUAAAUAUGUAUUGUGUUUGGUUCAUGAAAUUGAAUCAACAACUGAAUCCUAAUCAUGUGAUAAUUAGUUAUAGUCUUUAACUAGGAAACCGAACUCCACCUAAUUGGAUGUUUUUAUAUUUCCCUUUUUCAUUUCCUACAUCAGAUUGUAGAAAUACGUACUAGUUGCUGAAGUAAGAUGUCAUUCUUAGCUCUUAGAUCAUUAGAUGUGAAGAUGGCUCAACCUUUCGGUGCUGAUUAUUCGAGCUAUUAUGCUAAUGGUAUUGGGAGGGACAAUGCACGUGGACCUGGAUUUCCCGGCUUGAAGAAGAGAAAUCAUCAUCUUGGAAAUCGGUCUUGGAUAUUGAUUGAUGCCAAAGGGAACUCUGAAGUCGUGGAACUAGAUAAGCCAACUGUCAUGAGACGCUGUUUGCUGCCUUCCCGAGAUCUAAGACUCUUGGAUCCUUUGUUUAUCCAUCCCUCCUCGAUAUUAGGCCGUGACAAGGCUAUUGUUGUCAGUCUCGAGCAGAUUAGGUGCAUUAUCACCGCUGAUGAGGUUAUACUGAAGAACUCCGUAGAAGACUCAGUGCUGCAGUACAAAUAUGAGUUGUGCAAGCGUCUCGAGGUAUCCAGAGAUAAUUAUGACGAUCUACCUUUCGAGUUCAGAGCUUUGGAGGUUGCUUUGGAGCAUACAUGUAUGUCACUUGAUGCUCAGACAAAGGAUUUAGAAUUGGAUAUAUAUCCUGUGCUCGACGAAUUAGCCUCAUCCAUAAGCACCCUCAAUCUAGAGCGUGUACGUAGAUUCAAAGGGAGCCUUCUGGCCUUGACUCAGCGAGUGCAAAAGGUUUGUGUUGAAAUAGAGCAUCUGAUGAACGAUGAUGGUGACAUGGCGGAGAUGUAUCUAACUGAGAAGAAAGAAAGAAGGGAUAUACUUACAGAUAGUGAUGUAUGCAAUCUAAUUAAUGAUGCAAAAUUUAGAUCCAAAUCUGCUCCUGUUUCUCCGGUGGGAUCAUCUAGCGGAGUCCACAGAUUGCAGAGAGCUUUCAGCACUAUGAGUUCCACUAAACAUGGAAGCUUCUUGAGCUCAUCUUCUUCUGGAGAAAAUAUCGAUCAACUUGAGAUGUUACUCGAAGCAUACUUUGUUGGCAUAGACAACACACUCAAUAAGUUGCUAUCGCUUAAAGAGUAUAUUGAUGAUACCGAGGAUUUAAUCAACAUAAAGCUGGGAAAUGUACAGAAUCAGCUGAUUAAAUUCGAGUUGCUUCUCAGAGCUGCUACCUUUGUCACUGCCAUGUUUGCCGCUGUGGCUGCAGUUUUUGGAAUGAAUUUCGAAGACACUGUAUUUGACGAGGCCUCUACAUUCAACUGGGUACUUGUCAUCUCUGGAAUCUGUUGUGGAGUGUUGUAUGGUUUAUUUUUGGCUUAUUUCCGGAACAAAAAGGUCAUCCCUUAGUAGUCGGUUAGCGUAAGGGAUCACCUACUACAUUUCCUAAUUUUAAUUGAGUUCUUGCAGUUUCCCACCAUAUAUAUACUCUUGUACAUAUUUUUAGUUUUAGUGUGCAUCUGAGUUGUACAUCUUAAUCAAAAACUAAAAUUGAAACCGGAGCCUGCUUUCUCUUUCUCGAGUAUCUGCUAGCAUUUCCGACUCAUCAAUGCCUUCAUCUUCACUCAUUGAAUCCUCAUUGGAGUCAAGACUCAUAAAUCUUUGCUUAUUCCUAAUGUGGGGGAUAUCUCUGAUGGAGUCAUAGCCUGCGUUCUGUAUUCCGUUGGUUGAGCCAGCCAGAUUCCCGGUGGUUCUCUUAAGGUGGUACGUCUUCUCUCUUGUCGUGUUGGUCACAUAUGCAGUUACAAAGAAAAGCAGCACCUACAUCAGUGAUGAUAUGCUAGUCACUACUUCCGGUGACCUGCCGACGCCAUGAGGACAGCGACAGCAACCACGAACAUCAACAACAUGCCAACAAGAAGCACAUACGUCCUUCUAGAAGAUCUUCUGUACUCUCCAAACAGAAUCAUACCCCAGAAUGUACUCACCAGGGGCAAAGCCUACAUACGCGCAAACCAAAAUGUGAUCGGUAGUGUGUUUCAAGAUCGAAACAAUAGAUGAUGAUCAACUAACCCAUGGGCGGACCCAAGUGAUAGGGACGAGGGGCUAAAGCCCUCACUGAAAUAUUUUUAACUUUUUUUAAAAAAUUUCUUCAAGUUUAGCAUACAUUAUUAUGUAAAAGCCCCUAUAAAUAAUCUAAGUUACUUAAAAAUAUACUUUAAAA
This is an RNA transcript of Salvia splendens (bonfire salvia), 2551 nucleotides long. It is a transcript of the gene named magnesium transporter MRS2-5, with no coding region annotated. The record is from RefSeq and is a predicted model, not a curated record. The transcript is spliced from 7 exons. NCBI's taxonomy places the organism in Eukaryota, Viridiplantae, Streptophyta, Magnoliopsida, Lamiales, Lamiaceae.